RNAcentral lists this ribosomal RNA (253 nucleotides) under uncultured bacterium. RNAcentral's name for it is "partial 16S ribosomal RNA". It matches the Rfam family "Bacterial small subunit ribosomal RNA", at positions 524 to 776 of the family's 1533-position model. The record is from RNAcentral.
UACAGAGGGUGCAAGCGUUGCUCGGAUUUACUGGGCGUAAAGCGUACGCAGGCGGCUUGGUAGGUCGGAUGUGAAAGCCCCGGGCUCAACCCGGGAAUUGCAUCCGAAACCACCUCGCUCGAGUGUGGGAGAGGGAAGCGGAAUUCCUGGUGUAGAGGUGAAAUUCGUAGAUAUCAGGAGGAACACCGGCGGCGAAGGCGGCUUCCUGGCCCAUUACUGACGUUCAGGUACGAAAGCGUGGGUAGCAAACAGG